This 640-nucleotide ribosomal RNA is filed under the name Leptolyngbya sp. WUC1390. RNAcentral's name for it is "bacterial SSU rRNA". It matches the Rfam family "Bacterial small subunit ribosomal RNA", at positions 117 to 789 of the family's 1533-position model. Lineage: Bacteria; Bacillati; Cyanobacteriota; Cyanophyceae; Leptolyngbyales; Leptolyngbyaceae. The record is from RNAcentral.
GUGAGGAUCUGCCCUUAGGAGGGGGAUAACGACUGGAAACGGUCGCUAAUACCGCAUAUGCCGAGAGGUGAAAUGAUUAAUUGCCUGAGGAUGAACUCGCGUCUGAUUAGCUAGUUGGAGUGGUAACGGCACACCAAGGCGACGAUCAGUAGCUGGUCUGAGAGGAUGAUCAGCCACACUGGGACUGAGACACGGCCCAGACUCCUACGGGAGGCAGCAGUGGGGAAUUUUCCGCAAUGGGCGAAAGCCUGACGGAGCAAGACCGCGUGAGGGAGGAAGGCCUACUGGUUGUAAACCUCUUUUGAUAGGGAAGAACACAAUGACGGUACCUAUCGAAUCAGCCUCGGCUAACUCCGUGCCAGCAGCCGCGGUAAUACGGAGGAGGCAAGCGUUAUCCGGAAUUAUUGGGCGUAAAGCGUCCGUAGGUGGUUUAUCAAGUCAGUUGUUAAAGCGUGGAGCUUAACUCCAUAAGGGCAAUUGAAACUGAUAGGCUAGAGUGCGAUAGGGGCAAGGGGAAUUCCCAGUGUAGCGGUGAAAUGCGUAGAUAUUGGGAAGAACAUCGGUGGCGAAAGCGCCUUGCUGGGUCUGCACUGACACUGAGGGACGAAAGCUAGGGGAGCGAAAGGGAUUAGAUACCCCU